This 382-nucleotide ribosomal RNA is filed under the name uncultured eukaryote. Its description in RNAcentral is "partial 18S ribosomal RNA". It matches the Rfam family "Eukaryotic small subunit ribosomal RNA", at positions 592 to 976 of the family's 1831-position model. The record is from RNAcentral.
UGUAAGCGUAUACCAAAGUUGUUGCAGUUAAAACGCUCGUAGUCGGAAUUUGGCAGUUCCGGAUGUGUGCACGUCGUGUGCGCACUUCGCGGGGAUUGCUUUUGUGGUCUUGCGUAGGAUGAGGCACUUUUAUUAGUGAACGUCCUCACGCAACCACUUUUUACUGUGAGAAAAUCAGAGUGCUCAAAGCAGGCAUUUGCCGUGAAUGUAUUAGCAUAGAAUAAUAGAAUAGGACUUGGUUCUAUUUUGUUGGUUUGUUGGGACUGAGUAAUGAUUAAGAGGGACAGUUGGGGGCAUUUGUAUUUCGGUGCUAGAGGUGAAAUUCUUAGAUUACCGAAAGACAAACUGCUGCGAAAGCGUCUGCCAAGGAUGUUUUCAUUGA